GUUGUACUCCCUCUGUCCGAAAAAACUUGUCCCAAGCUUGUCCCUUAAAUGGAUAUAUCUAGCCCCAAAUUAGUUCUAGAUACAUUCAGUUGAGAGACAAGUUUUUUCGGACGGAGGGAGUAGUUA
This is a non-coding RNA of Triticum aestivum (bread wheat), 126 nucleotides long. Lineage: Eukaryota; Viridiplantae; Streptophyta; Magnoliopsida; Poales; Poaceae. The record is from Rfam.